UAGGGAAUAUUGGACAAUGGGGGCAACCCUGAUCCAGCCAUGCCGCGUGAGUGAAGAAGGCCCUCGGGUUGUAAAGCUCUUUUGUCCGGAAAGAAAAGCUUCGGGUUAAUACCCCGGGGUUCUGACGGUACCGGAAGAAUAAGCACCGGCUAACUUCGUGCCAGCAGCCGCGGUAAUACGGAGGGUGCGAGCGUUACUCGGAAUUACUGGGCGUAAAGCGUGCGUAGGUGGUUGUUUAAGUCUGAUGUGAAAGCCCUGGGCUCAACCGGGGAAUGGCAUUUGAAACUGGGCAGCUAGAGUGCGGUAGAGGGUAGUGGAAUUCCCGGUGUAGCAGUGAAAUGCGUAGAGAUCGGGAGGAACAUCUGUGGCGAAGGCGACUGCCUGGACCAGCACUGACACUGAGGCACGAAAGCGUGGGGAGCAAACA
RNAcentral lists this ribosomal RNA (427 nucleotides) under uncultured bacterium. Its description in RNAcentral is "bacterial SSU rRNA". It matches the Rfam family "Bacterial small subunit ribosomal RNA", at positions 355 to 774 of the family's 1533-position model. The record is from RNAcentral.